GACGAACGCUGGCGGCGUGCUUAACACAUGCAAGUCGGACGGAAAGGCCCUGCUUUUGUGGGGUGCUCGAGUGGCGAACGGGUGAGUAACACGUGAGUAACCUGCCCUUGACUUUGGGAUAACUUCAGGAAACUGGGGCUAAUACCGGAUAGGAGCUCCUGCUGCAUGGUGGGGGUUGGAAAGUUUCGGCGGUUGGGGAUGGACUCGCGGCUUAUCAGCUUGUUGGUGGGGUAGUGGCUUACCAAGGCUUUGACGGGUAGCCGGCCUGAGAGGGUGACCGGCCACAUUGGGACUGAGAUACGGCCCAGACGCCUACGGGAGGCAGCAGUGGGGAAUAUUGCACAAUGGGCGGAAGCCUGAUGCAGCAACGCCGCGUGCGGGAUGACGGCCUUCGGGUUGUAAACCGCUUUCGCCUGUGACGAAGCGUGAGGGACGGUAAUGGGUAAAGAAGCACCGGCUAACUACGU
RNAcentral lists this ribosomal RNA (467 nucleotides) under uncultured bacterium. Its description in RNAcentral is "partial 16S ribosomal RNA". It matches the Rfam family "Bacterial small subunit ribosomal RNA", at positions 28 to 506 of the family's 1533-position model. The record is from RNAcentral.